GACGAACGCUGGCGGCGUGCUUAACACAUGCAAGUCGAACGGAAAGGCCCUGCUUGUGUGGGGUGCUCGAGGGGCGAACGGGGGAGGAACACGUGAGUAACCUGCCCUUGACUUUGGGAUAACUUCAGGAAACUGGGGCUAAUAUCGGAUAGGAGCUCCUGCUGCAUGGUGGGGGUUGGAAAGUUUCGGCGGUUGGGGCUGGACUCGCGGCUUAUCAGCUUGUUGGUUGGGUAGUGGCAUACCAAGGCUUUGACCGGUAGCCGGCCGGGGAGGGUGACCGGGCACCUUGGGACUGAGAUACGGCCCAGACUGCUACGGGAGGCAGCAGUGGCGAGUAUUGCACAGUGGGCGGAAGCCUGAUGCAGAAACGCCGCGUGCGGGAUGACGGCCUGCGGGUUGUGAACCGCUUUCGCCUGUGACGAAGCGUGAGUGACGGUACUGGGUGAAUAAGCACCGGCUAACUACGUG
This 468-nucleotide ribosomal RNA is filed under the name uncultured bacterium. RNAcentral's name for it is "partial 16S ribosomal RNA". It matches the Rfam family "Bacterial small subunit ribosomal RNA", at positions 28 to 507 of the family's 1533-position model. The record is from RNAcentral.